UACGUAGGUGGCAAGCGUUGUCCGGAUUUAUUGGGUUUAAAGGGUGCGUAGGCGGCCUUGUAAGUCAGUGGUGAAAUACUCCAGCUUAACUGGAGGGGUGCCAAUGAUACUGCAGGGCUUGAGUACAGAUGAGGUAGGCGGAAUUGACGGUGUAGCGGUGAAAUGCAUAGAUAUCGUCAAGAACACCGAUAGCGAAGGCAGCUUACUGGGCUGUAACUGACGCUGAGGCACGAAAGUGUGGGAUCAAACAGG
This 252-nucleotide ribosomal RNA is filed under the name uncultured bacterium. Its description in RNAcentral is "partial 16S ribosomal RNA". It matches the Rfam family "Bacterial small subunit ribosomal RNA", at positions 524 to 776 of the family's 1533-position model. The record is from RNAcentral.